Molecule: ribosomal RNA, 502 nt
Filed under: uncultured bacterium
Lineage: Bacteria
Description: partial 16S ribosomal RNA
Rfam family: Bacterial small subunit ribosomal RNA
Source: RNAcentral
GACGAACGCUGGCGGCGUGCCUAAUACAUGCAAGUCGAACGAACCGCGACUAGGUGCUUGCACUUGGUCAAGGUGAGUGGCGAACGGGUGAGUAACACGUGGGUAGCCUACCUCAUAGUGGGGGAUAACAGUCGGAAACGACUGCUAAUACCGCAUAGGACAUAGGAUCACAUGAUUCUGUGAGGAAAGGUGGCGCAAGCUAUCGCUAAGAGAUGGACCCGCGGUGCAUUAGCUAGUUGGUAGGGUAAAGGCCUACCAAGGCGAUGAUGCAUAGCCGACCUGAGAGGGUGAUCGGCCACAUUGGGACUGAGACACGGCCCAAACUCCUACGGGAGGCAGCAGUAGGGAAUCUUCCGCAAUGGACGCAAGUCUGACGGAGCAACGCCGCGUGAGUGAAGAAGGUCUUCGGAUCGUAAAGCUCUGUUGUUAGAGAAGAACAGCGCAUAGAGUAACUGUUAUGCGUGUGACGGUAUCUAACCAGAAAGCCACGGCUAACUACGUG